UAAUUUAUGUUUUUCCUAUGCAUCAUGUUUUGUUUAAAUGAAUUAUUAAUGUGACAUACUUAGCUUGUUGUUACCUUCCUAACAUUAAGAUACCAAGUGACAGUGGACGAGUUGAGACGAAGAGUUGGGGCCCCGGAAAAUAUGUCUUGCAAAUACCCUUGUCUGCUUCCUUCGUGUUCAAAAGAACAAGAAACAGGAGUUGAAACAAAGGCUUCAAAAUGCGUGUGUCAGCCCUGGACCUUUAACAAGUGUGGUGUCAAUGUGCUCAAAAUUAACUGAGGCUGAAGCUUGUGAGCUGGCAGACAACUUGGGGAAGAUGGCAGUAGCUUACAUUCCAGAUGACAUUCAACUCAUGGAGUUAGCCAACAAGGAUGUUGCACUGGGGAGACUUGCUUUUUUCAAGUGAGUAUAAUAAACUGUAAAUUAAGAAAUAUAUGCUACA
RNAcentral lists this long non-coding RNA (442 nucleotides) under Astyanax mexicanus (Mexican tetra). RNAcentral describes it as "lncRNA (ENSAMXG00005001380.1)". Lineage: Eukaryota; Metazoa; Chordata; Actinopteri; Characiformes; Acestrorhamphidae. The record is from RNAcentral.